Molecule: non-coding RNA, 524 nt
Organism: Chrysemys picta bellii (western painted turtle)
Lineage: Eukaryota; Metazoa; Chordata; Testudines; Emydidae
Source: RefSeq, a predicted model, not a curated record
UACUUUUCUGACUGAAAUAAGUUUUUACUUCUUUUCAGAGGCCAUACACAUGUGGGAGAGGGUGCUGGAAUGCCUCAUGAAGAGAAUUGUUAGCUAAGUUCUGACUGCGGAAUUUGUAUUGUUGGCAAUGAGCGACCUAAAGAGAAACCAUCUUGACUUUCAAGUCCCAGCUUGAUUUUCAGGGCGAGCACUUAGAAAAAGCAUUUUUUUCAUUUGCAAACUGAGAAGACGGCAUCUGGAAUCACUUAAGGAAGAAAAUAAACAUGGUGCCCCCAAUAUCACCAUUUUUGCAGAGAACUGCAUUGUAAAGAGUAUUAUUAGCAUAAUUCCAUUCCUGAUUGCUCCGGUUCUUGGGUUUAUUUCACAAGGGGAAUUAAAAAAGGGAAUUUCUGCAUGUAUGUUUACAUGGAAAAUGAAGAAGUGCCUGAAAUAAACCAAAUACUGGCGUAGAAGUGCUUUGAACUUAGAAAUGUGAUUUUUUUGUGAGGAGGGGAAGAGGAGGAGGAGGAGGAGGAGGAGUAGAA